AAACAUAAAAUUUGAAAGUGUCUUAAAUGUCUCCGUAUGAUUUGAAAUGUUUGCAUAUUAAAGUAUAUAAAGAAAGCAUGAUUAAUUAAAAGAAAUAUAAUGAGAUGCAAAAAAGAAAUGGUGGAACAAAUUAUUGGUUAUGGUUAACUGCAUCACCACCUUCACAAUCUUAGAAAAUGGAUCGAAAUAUAGUGCUAAAAACCGAUCGAACAGUAUCAAUUCGACGAUAACUGUGAGAAGUAAUGACUAAUUUACAUUUGAAGAUGUUAAAGAUCCAGUUAUGACAAAUGAGAACGAUUCUAACCUAACUUCUACUACGACGGUUUUACCCCCAAUUUCUACUAAAUUGGAUGACGAAUGGCUUUAUAUUGUUGUUCCACUCGUUAUAAUUUUAAUUAUUAUACUACUGGCCGGAUUGUUUUAUUUAUUGGCACGAAGAAGACGAUUGGAGAGGCUUAGAUAUAACAUUUUAGCUUUGUAUGAAUUCGACUCAAAUGAAGAGGAAUGGGAAACUUUGACUAGUUCAGGGAGUUCAGAUUAUAAGUCCACUACUAAUUUGUAACAUGUAAAUAUAAAAUAUAUAGGUAAGUGUGUUUGUGUAAAAGAUAAUAUCUUUAUUAAAUUAAGAAUCUGCUAUUUAUGACCUGUGAUAUUGUUGAAGUUAUGUAAUAUAAAAAUAGGUUAGUGAUUUAUAAUAAUAAUAUACAUAGACAAUUUCAA
Non-coding RNA from Onthophagus taurus, 720 nucleotides. The record is from RefSeq and is a predicted model, not a curated record. Lineage: Eukaryota; Metazoa; Arthropoda; Insecta; Coleoptera; Scarabaeidae.